This 483-nucleotide ribosomal RNA is filed under the name uncultured bacterium. RNAcentral describes it as "partial 16S ribosomal RNA". It matches the Rfam family "Bacterial small subunit ribosomal RNA", at positions 28 to 507 of the family's 1533-position model. The record is from RNAcentral.
GACGAACGCUGGCGGCGUGCUUAACACAUGCAAGUCGAGCGCUGAAGCUCAGCUUUUGUUGGGUGGAUGAGUGGCGAACGGGUGAGUAACACGUGAGUAACCUGCCCCCUUCUUUGGGAUAACGCCCGGAAACGGGUGCUAAUACUGGAUAUUCACUGGUCUUCGCAUGGGGGUUGGUGGAAAGGGUUUUUCUGGUGGGGGAUGGGCUCGCGGCCUAUCAGCUUGUUGGUGGGGUGAUGGCCUACCAAGGCUUUGACGGGUAGCCGGCCUGAGAGGGCGACCGGUCACAUUGGGACUGAGAUACGGCCCAGACUCCUACGGGAGGCAGCAGUGGGGAAUAUUGCACAAUGGGCGCAAGCCUGAUGCAGCGACGCCGCGUGAGGGAUGGAGGCCUUCGGGUUGUGAACCUCUUUCGCUCAUGGUCAAGCCGCAACAAUGGUUGUGGUGAGGGUAGUGGGUAAAGAAGCGCCGGCUAACUACGUG